GACGAACGCUGGCGGCGUGCUUAACACAUGCAAGUCGAACGGAAAGGCCCUGCUUGCAGGGUACUCGAGUGGCGAACGGGUGAGUAACACGUGGGUGAUCUGCCCUGCACUUCGGGAUAAGCCUGGGAAACUGGGUCUAAUACCGGAUAGGAGCCAUUUUUAGUGUGAUGGUUGGAAAGUUUUUUCGGUGUAGGAUGAGCUCGCGGCCUGUCAGCUUGUUGGUGGGGUAAUGGCCUACCAAGGCGGCGACGGGUAGCCGGCCUGAGAGGGUGGACGGCCACAUUGGGACUGAGAUACGGCCCAGACUCCUACGGGAGGCAGCAGUGGGGAAUAUUGCACAAUGGGCGCAAGCCUGAUGCAGCGACGCCGCGUGGGGGAUGACGGCCUUCGGGUUGUAAACUCCUUUCGCUAGGGACGAAGCUUUUUGUGACGGUACCUAGAGAAGAAGCACCGGCUAACUACGUG
This 465-nucleotide ribosomal RNA is filed under the name uncultured bacterium. Its description in RNAcentral is "partial 16S ribosomal RNA". It matches the Rfam family "Bacterial small subunit ribosomal RNA", at positions 28 to 507 of the family's 1533-position model. The record is from RNAcentral.